GGAUAUAGCUUAGUGGCAGAGCGCAUGCUUAGCAUGCACAAGGUCUUGGGUUCAAUCCCCAGUACCUCCA
Molecule: transfer RNA, 70 nt
Filed under: Camelus bactrianus (Bactrian camel)
Lineage: Eukaryota; Metazoa; Chordata; Mammalia; Artiodactyla; Camelidae
Also listed under: 2 other names
Rfam family: tRNA
About the family: Transfer RNA (tRNA) molecules are approximately 80 nucleotides in length. Their secondary structure includes four short double-helical elements and three loops (D, anti-codon, and T loops). Further hydrogen bonds mediate the characteristic L-shaped molecular structure. tRNAs have two regions of fundamental functional importance: the anti-codon, which is responsible for specific mRNA codon recognition, and the 3' end, to which the tRNAs corresponding amino acid is attached (by aminoacyl-tRNA synthetases). tRNAs cope with the degeneracy of the genetic code in two manners: having more than one tRNA (with a specific anti-codon) for a particular amino acid; and 'wobble' base-pairing, i.e. permitting non-standard base-pairing at the 3rd anti-codon position.
Source: Rfam by way of RNAcentral